CCUACGGGUGGCAGCAGUAGGGAAUAUUGCUCAAUGGGGGAAACCCUGAAGCAGCAACGCCGCGUGGAGGAUGAAGGUUUUCGGAUUGUAAACUCCUUUUGUUAGAGAAGAUAAUGACGGUAUCUAACGAAUAAGCACCGGCUAACUCCGUGCCAGCAGCCGCGGUAAUACGGAGGGUGCAAGCGUUACUCGGAAUCACUGGGCGUAAAUAGCGCGUAGGCGGGAUAGCAAUCCAGAUUUGAAAUCCUAUGGGUUAACCAUAGAAGUGCAUUUGAAACUGUUAUUAUAGAGUAUGGGAGUGGUAGGUGGAAUCCUAGGUGUAGGGGUAAAAUCCGUAGAGAUCAAGAGGAAUACUCAUUGCGAAGGCGACCUGCUAGAACAUAACUGACGCUGAUGCGCGAAAGCGUGGGGAGCAAACAGGAUUAGAUACCCCAGUAGUC
Molecule: ribosomal RNA, 440 nt
Filed under: uncultured bacterium
Lineage: Bacteria
Description: partial 16S ribosomal RNA
Rfam family: Bacterial small subunit ribosomal RNA
Source: RNAcentral